CUCCGGGUGGUGUAGUUGGUUCAUCACGUCGGGCUGUAAACCUGAAGGUCGCGUGUUCGAUUCACGCCCUGGAGA
This 75-nucleotide transfer RNA is filed under the name Ophiocordyceps sinensis CO18. RNAcentral describes it as "tRNA-Tyr (GTA) (tRNA-Tyr-GTA-1-1)". It matches the Rfam family "tRNA". Rfam says of the family: Transfer RNA (tRNA) molecules are approximately 80 nucleotides in length. Their secondary structure includes four short double-helical elements and three loops (D, anti-codon, and T loops). Further hydrogen bonds mediate the characteristic L-shaped molecular structure. tRNAs have two regions of fundamental functional importance: the anti-codon, which is responsible for specific mRNA codon recognition, and the 3' end, to which the tRNAs corresponding amino acid is attached (by aminoacyl-tRNA synthetases). tRNAs cope with the degeneracy of the genetic code in two manners: having more than one tRNA (with a specific anti-codon) for a particular amino acid; and 'wobble' base-pairing, i.e. permitting non-standard base-pairing at the 3rd anti-codon position. Lineage: Eukaryota; Fungi; Ascomycota; Sordariomycetes; Hypocreales; Ophiocordycipitaceae. The record is from RNAcentral.